Molecule: long non-coding RNA, 608 nt
Organism: Fukomys damarensis (Damara mole-rat)
Lineage: Eukaryota; Metazoa; Chordata; Mammalia; Rodentia; Bathyergidae
Exons: 3
Source: RefSeq, a predicted model, not a curated record
UCCUAAGGGUUGGCCACAGAAUUUCAAUAGCCCAGAGCCCUGAGCUGGUUGGAUAGUUAACUAAUUGUGUCAAUUUAAAUAAGAAAUCUUCAAUUAAAUAGGAUCAGCGUAGCUUUGAGUGUGGCUAAAGGGAUUUAUUGAAGACAAAAGACCCAUUCAGGGGCAACUUGUCACCUAAAUGUCGUAAAAGGGAAAUGAAGCAGGAAGGCUUACUGCUGUUUCUUUGAAAGAGCUCCAGUCUUCACCCUCACCUCAGGUGUUGUCUCCUAGCUUGCAGGGCAGUCUCCAGCACAGGUGCUUCGGCCUUCCACUACAGACCCUCGGGCUUCCUGACUAGCGCGAAACACCACGAUCAACUGGAUCCUUUGGAUCGCCAGCGCACAGACAGAAGUUUUGCACUUUUCCUCACAUGAUGCUGUGGGAGACCACUAUGUUGCUGAGUUGGCCAGGCUGGACUCUCAGAUCUUCCCACCUCAGCCUCCCAGAAUGUUGGGAUCGCAAGGUGUCCACCGCUACGUUCAGCUGGAGGAUGUUAAUUUGUUGAGGCAUAGGAUUUGUCAGCAGAGACAAUGGAAAAAUUUGAGAAGAGAAAACAGCCCAUAUGCCCA